RNAcentral lists this unclassified non-coding RNA (701 nucleotides) under plant metagenome. Its description in RNAcentral is "partial contains small subunit ribosomal RNA and internal transcribed spacer 1". The stretch from base 97 to 405 matches the Rfam family "Group I catalytic intron". The record is from RNAcentral.
AAGUCGUAACAAGGUUUCCGUAGACCAAGUCUCGGGAUACGAUCCUUCUGCAUGUACACUUGCCGAAGCCUUGAAGAGCAGCCCGAGAGGGUGGCAGCGUCGACUUAAACUACGCGUCCGCCUUAAUUGCUAGUCCUCCUCGCCGAGGGCAACACUUUCAAACUGCGGGGGACGCCCUAAAAGAUCCUUGGUACCAAGCGCUCUCUGGAAACGGAGGCGUGGCCGGGCUAGCAGCCUUGGGUAUGGUCAUAAUCCAGGAUAUCGAGCCCUUCGGGGCGACAAUGGGUAAUCCGCAGCCAAGUCCUUCGGCCUCCAGGCCAUGGAUGCUGUCCACAGGCCAAAUGUUAGUGGGUGGAGUUUCGUGCUCCGCUUAAGAUAUGGUCGGGCCUUGCGCGAAAGCGUGGGGAUAAGUACUGCUCAAUGUCGCCACUUUCAUCCCGCUUGCCGUGGGAUGAAACCUGACGAUGCUGCAAGCGAGAAAGCAAAAAACGUUCCGUAGGUGAACCUGCGGAAGGAUCAUUAACGAGAAAGGGUCCUUCGGGGCCCGACCUCCAACCCUAUAUCUACCUACCUCUGUUGCUUCGGCGGGCCCGCCGACGCCUUCACGGGCGUCAGCCGUCGGCCUCUGGCUCUCGAGCGCCGCCGCGGACCAAUUCAAACCCUUUAAUCAAGCCCUUCUGAGAGUAUAUCAAUACUUUAAA